GUGGUUCUGGUUUCAAUCCAUACCAAGAUUUUCUAUGUGUACAAAUAAUCUAGAAAAUCUUGUGUGGAUUGAUACCAGGGUCAG
This 84-nucleotide microRNA precursor is filed under the name Ornithorhynchus anatinus (platypus). RNAcentral describes it as "mir-1422 microRNA precursor family". It matches the Rfam family "mir-1422 microRNA precursor family". The record is from Rfam by way of RNAcentral. Lineage: Eukaryota; Metazoa; Chordata; Mammalia; Monotremata; Ornithorhynchidae.